This 3633-nucleotide long non-coding RNA is filed under the name Glycine max (soybean). Its description in RNAcentral is "long non-coding RNA (GMAX_LNC004203)". Lineage: Eukaryota; Viridiplantae; Streptophyta; Magnoliopsida; Fabales; Fabaceae. The record is from RNAcentral.
GAUACAAUUGAUACAAGCCCAACUGUGAAUGAUGCUUCUGGGCCAACUGGGAACACUGAGAAUGUGGUUAUUGGGCCUGAUAUGAGACCUGCUCGUGCUACCCGUUUACCAACCAAGUUUCGUGACCACAUCCUCUUCAAAUAAAGAUUCUCUUGCUUGCUUCCAGAAGGCCUCGUCACUAGUGUAUUUUCAAUUUUGUUAUGCAAUUCCAAUUACUAGAUUUCAUUAGAUUUCAUUGUAAGAUUUGGGGGAUAAAGGCUGUACGAAUGUCCUUUCCAUUUUAUGAAUGAAAUAACUUACAAUCUAUUUCCUUUCUCUUUCUAUUCUUGAGGAGGUUCUCAGUCCUAUAACUGAGAAACAUAUCAUUGGUGCUUUCAUUGAGCCACUCCCUCCAUGACUACCCCACGGCACACUGCUCCUCCGCCGCCCUCAAACGAGGAGCUUGCUCGUCAGUUAGCCACCAUUUCCACUCGUUUGGAAGCUGUCUGGAAACGUUUGGAUGACCCUAACGCAUCUUCUUCCACACGAUCCACUGCGGAAUCAACUUACCGUCCACGGCUUAAAUUGGAUGUUCCUCGCUUCUCCGGCGACGACGCUCCUGGAUGGAUCUUCAAGAUCUCCCAAUUCUUCACCUACCAUCAGACGCCUGAGGAGGAGAGAAUCACUAUUGCUUCGUUUUAUCUUGACGGCGCCGCUCUCGCGUGGUACCAGUGGAUGUAUCGCAACCGCCAAAUCGUGUCGUGGAACCAGUUUCUCACGGCGUUGGAGACACGUUUUGCACCUACCGCGUUCGAUGACCCUCGAGGGAAGCUUUUCAAGCUCACUCAGUCCUCCACCGUGACAGCUUACCUCACCGAAUUUGAAGCCCUUGCUAAUCGUUUGGAGGGUCUAUCAGAGGUAGAUCUGCUCAGCUGUUUCGUCUCGGGCCUUCGCAUGGACAUUCGUCGUGAGGUGCUUACACAGAGACCAAUCACCAUUUCUCAGGCAACUGGAUUAGCCCGAUUGCAAGAAGACAAGCUACAAGACAUCACUCGCAUGUCCCGUUCAAAAGUGUGGCAUUCUUCGUCAACUCCGACGAAGGAACUCAUCAAAGGGGGUUCCGAUUCCACGCCUCCUUCGACGAACACCGCUGGCCUCUUACCAACACCGGCGGCAAAGCCACGAUUCCGUCACCUAUCUAGUGCGGAGAUGGACGAGCGUCGUGAGAAGGGGCUCUGUUUUAAUUGUGACCAACGAUGGUCACGGCAACACAAAUGUGGUGCUCGUAUUUUUUUGAUGGUUGCUACUAGUGAUGAUGAUGAUCCUUUGAUAAGUGAAUUGGAGCAAGCAGUUGAUCUUUUGGACCCGGGUGAUUCUGAAAUUCAGGCCGCUCAAUUAAGUCUCCAUGCUUUAUCGGGUUCUCAUGCUGCGGACACUUUUCGUGUGGUGGGCAUGAUAGGUUCGCAUUCGGUUCAUGUGCUUGUUGAUGGAGGAAGCACUCAUAACUUCAUCCAAAACUCGCUUGCUCUGACCCUGGGGUUGAAUCGCAGUGACAUUCCCUUUUUUCGUGUUCUGGUGGGUAGUGGCCAAGAGCUUCUCUGUGAUAAGGUAUGUCAUGAUGUGACGAUGUUGAUACAGAAUAAUUCAUUUCAGCUUGAUUUGUAUUCCUUGGAUUUGCGUGGGGCUGAUAUCAUAUUAGGAGCACAAUGGUUGAAACAAUUGGGUCCGGUUUUGAUGAAUUACACCACCUUAACCAUGACUUUCUUCCACAACAACUCUUGUGUUGUGUUGCAAGGUGCUUCUCCAACACCCUCUGUGAGCCUCCAUUGCUUUCAAAAAAUGGCCCGUCUAGAACCCGAAGCCCACCUUUACUCACUCCAAAUACUAGACCAAACACCUUCCUAUCCAGAUACAGACCACCACCCACCCAAACCCUCUCUAAUAAUACCUGAGACCAUCCCAAUUGACCCCCAAAUACAAACCUUAAUUGACCGUUACCAACAUAUAUUCACAGAACCAACCUCCUUACCCCCAUCAAGGCCUACUGACCACACCAUACCCCUCUUGCCAAACACUGCCCCUGUAUCCGUCCGUCCCUAUCGUUACCCUCAUUCACAAAAGCUUGAAAUAGAGACCCAAGUGGCCAAAUUUCUUAGCUCCGGUUGGAUUCAACCAAGCACUAGUCCAUUCUCCUCACCGGUAUUGUUGUUGAAGAAGAAAGAUGGUUCUUGGCGUAUGUGUGUGGACUAUCGCGCUUUGAAUGCUCUCACAGUUCGUGACCGAUUUCCUUUGCCCACUAUUGACGAGUUAUUGGAUGAACUUGGUCAUGCGAGGAUUUUUUCCAAACUAGACCUCACUUCCGGAUUCCACCAGAUUCGUGUUGCCCCUCAAGAUGUGCACAAGACCGCAUUUCGCACCCAUGACGGCCAUUAUGAAUAUGUGCAUUUAGGAGCCCUUCCUUCUAAUUAUACGGCAUUUAAAGUGGCCGAACUUUUUGUCAAUCUGGUUUGCAAGCACCAUGGGUUACCUAAGAGCAUCAUUUCGGAUCGGGAUCCUAUUUUCAUUAGCAAGUUUUGGACCGAGUUGUUCAAAUUCAGUGGUACUUUGCUUCGCAUGAGCUCUUCUUAUCAUCCGCAAACUGACGGCCAAACUGAGGUAACAAAUCGCACCAUUGAGCAAUAUUUACGUGCAUUUGUUCAUCAUAAACCCUCUCUUUGGCACAAGUACCUACCUUGGGCAGAAUACCACUAUAAUACUGCUUUUCAUUCUUCUGCUGGUAUGACACCCUUUCAAGUGGUGUUUGGUAAGCCUCCUCCCUCCCUGCCUAUUUAUGUUGCUGGUGCGUCAAGUGUGGCAGCUACUGAUGCAUUACUGAAUGACCGAGAGGCUGUUUUGGAGUUGUUGCGCGUUAAUUUAGCCAAGGCACAGACUCGUAUGAAAGCAAUAGCUGAUGGCAAGCGCCGUGAUGUUUCUUAUGAGGUUGGUUCAUGGGUCCAUGUGAAGCUUCAACCUUAUAGGCAGUCAUCUGUUUCUGGGGGUAAGUACAACAAGCUCAAUAAAAGAUAUUAUGGUCCUUAUCGUGUUUUAGAACGGCUAGGUCCUGUGGCCUAUAAAUUAGAACUCCCUUCAAAUGCCAAAAUCCAUAAUGUGUUUCAUUGCUCACUUUUGAAGCCAUAUGUUGGUUCCAUUCCCCCCACAGUCACUGAGUUACCUGAGAAUUUUGUAGACAAUCAUCCCAUCAUCACUCCUUUGGCUCUCUUGGCUUCAAGAAUUGUCACCAAUGAUGCUGGUAACAAAGUCUCGCAGGUUCUGGUGCAAUGGGAUGGUCUUCAUCCAGAUGAUACAUCUUGGGAGAAUUGGAGUGAAAUUCAAGUUGUUUACAACCUUGAGGACAAGGUUGGUUUUGAUGGGGAUGGUAUUGAUACAAUUGAUACAAGCCCAACUGUGAAUGAUGCUUCUGGGCCAACUGGGAACACUGAGAAUGUGGUUAUUGGGCCUGAUAUGAGACCUGCUCGUGCUACCCGUUUACCAACCAAGUUUCGUGACCACAUCCUCUUCAAAUAAAGAUUCUCUUGCUUGCUUCCAGAAGGCCUCGUCACUAGUGUAUUUUCAAUUCUGUUAUGCAAUUCCAAUUACUAGAUUUCAUUAGAUUUC